UCGAACGAGUUCUCGUUGAUGAUCGGUGCUUGCACCGAGAUUCAACAUGGAACGAGUGGCGGACGGGUGAGUAACACGUGGGUAACCUGCCCUUAAGUGGGGGAUAACAUUUGGAAACAGAUGCUAAUACCGCAUAGAUCCAAGAACCGCAUGGUUCUUGGCUGAAAGAUGGCGUAAGCUAUCGCUUUUGGAUGGACCCGCGGCGUAUUAGCUAGUUGGUGAGGUAACGGCUCACCAAGGCGAUGAUACGUAGCCGAACUGAGAGGUUGAUCGGCCACAUUGGGACUGAGACACGGCCCAAACUCCUACGGGAGGCAGCAGUAGGGAAUCUUCCACAAUGGACGCAAGUCUGAUGGAGCAACGCCGCGUGAGUGAAGAAGGCUUUCGGGUCGUAAAACUCUGUUGUUGGAGAAGAAUGGUCGGCAGAGUAACUGUUGUCGGCGUGACGGUAUCCAACCAGAAAGCCACGGCUAACUACGUGCCAGCAGCCGCGGUAAUACGUAGGUGGCAAGCGUUAUCCGGAUUUAUUGGGCGUAAAGCGAGCGCAGGCGGUUUUUUAAGUCUGAUGUGAAAGUCCUCGGCUUAACCGAGGAAGCGCAUCGGAAACUGGGAAACUUGAGUGCAGAAGAGGACAGUGGAACUCCAUGUGUAGCGGUGAAAUGCGUAGAUAUAUGGAAGAACACCAGUGGCGAAGGCGGCUGUCUGGUCUGUAACUGACGCUGAGGCUCGAAAGCAUGGGUAGCGAACAGGAUUAGAUACCCUGGUAGUCCAUGCCGUAAACGAUGAAUGCUAGGUGUUGGAGGGUUUCCGCCCUUCAGUGCCGCAGCUAACGCAUUAAGCAUUC
This 844-nucleotide ribosomal RNA is filed under the name uncultured bacterium. Its description in RNAcentral is "bacterial SSU rRNA". It matches the Rfam family "Bacterial small subunit ribosomal RNA", at positions 62 to 869 of the family's 1533-position model. The record is from RNAcentral.